This 307-nucleotide ribosomal RNA is filed under the name uncultured bacterium. RNAcentral describes it as "bacterial SSU rRNA". It matches the Rfam family "Bacterial small subunit ribosomal RNA", at positions 32 to 332 of the family's 1533-position model. The record is from RNAcentral.
AAUCAACGCUGGCGGCGUGCCUCAGACAUGCAAGUCGAACGAUUAAAGCUCCCUUCGGGGAGUGCAUAAAGUGGCGCACGGGUGAGUAACACGUAAGUAAUCUACCUUCGAGUGGGGAAUAACGUUCGGAAACGAACGCUAAUACCGCAUAAUGCAGCGGCAUCUAUGAUGACAGUUGUUAAAGAUUUAUCGCUUGAAGAGGAGCUUGCGGCAGAUUAGCUAGUUGGUAAGGUAAUGGCUUACCAAGGCUACGAUCUGUAUCCGGUCUAAGAGGACGGUCGGACACACUGACACUGAAUAACGGGUC